UCGAUAACGAUGUGUAUUUUCGUGCUCGCUCUCUGCACCAACACAAAACACGCAACUAAAUUUAAUUUAAAGACCCAUUAAAAACAAUGCAAACGGAACCAAUUAAGUGAUAAAGUGGCCACCGCGGCACCGCCGAAAGCGAGCGCAGUGAAUAUUCCGAAAGGAAGCGCUUUUGGGGAAACUUGCACAAACCUUUUUUUCGUAAGCGCUCUGCCUCUAAUGUGGUCUCUUUCGCACAGCAGAAUUACUAGUUGCUGUGUGUGUGCGUGCGUGUGAGUGUUUGUGUGUGACUUUGACUGCAGUUCGCGUUCGUUUUUUUUAUACUAAUAAACCACAAAUAGACAGCAAUAAAAGUAAAAUUAUUUGAUGUGAGAAAAGAAGAGCGGAAAUCCGCAUUCGUUGAAAAUGCUGGAGGCAGCAGCAACAGCAAAGACAACUUGCCGCCAACGAAACAACAACUACAAGGCUCUAUCACCAACACACGACAACAACAAAAAUUACUACAGCCUUAUUACUACACAGGAAAAUUGUGACUGUGUGUGUGCGUGCGAGUGAGUGCGCGUAUUUGUGUUGAAUAAUGUUUAAACAUUUCUGAGUUUCGCACACAAGAAACAAUUUAAGUUGCAGUCACCAGUCGCAGCGACCAGACAUACGAUUGAAGCAAACGAAAAGCAGCUAACUUUAUAAAUAAAAUCGCCUCAGAUACAAGCAAUAAUAAAACUAAACCGAAAAUAAAUCAACAGAAGUAAAAACGUUAAACAUUUAAUAAAGAAUAAAGUUGAUUACCCAUUGCAUUAAAGAAAUAGUAGCCAUUAGCUUUAUUAAAAAAAAAACAAACAAAAUAAAUAAAUAUAAAAAAAAAUAGACGCGUAAAAAUUUUGAGCAGAACUUAGCAAGCCUAUAAAAUACGCCUUCCAAUAGUUAUUAUAUAUACACGCAUUAUAUACAUGCAUAUACAUAGCCAUAGCACUUAAACAUAUAUACAACGCUUAGAUAAUGUAGAAACAAAUGAGAGAAUGAAAGAAGAACGAUAUAUAAUCGUGGAAAAAGUGCGUUAUAUUCUAACGGUGCAAUCAAACCUUAAUGCAGAUCUAUACGUGGCUAAUCGAUAUUACGGCUACCCUAAUAUAUAUAUACAUUAAAAA
Drosophila kikkawai is the source of this 1145-nucleotide non-coding RNA. The record is from RefSeq and is a predicted model, not a curated record. NCBI's taxonomy places the organism in Eukaryota, Metazoa, Arthropoda, Insecta, Diptera, Drosophilidae.